CGGGUGAGUAACACGUGGGUAAUCUACCUCUUAGUGGGGAAUAACGCUGGGAAACCGGCGCUAAUACCGCAUAAGCCUGAGAAGGGAAAGCGGCAUUACGAAAGUAAUGUGGCGCUGAGAGAGGAGCCCGCGGCCGAUUAGCUAGUUGGUAGGGUAAGAGCCUACCAAGGCAUAGAUCGGUAGCCGGCCUGAGAGGGUGAUCGGCCACACUGGAACUGAGACACGGUCCAG
RNAcentral lists this ribosomal RNA (231 nucleotides) under uncultured bacterium. RNAcentral describes it as "partial 16S ribosomal RNA". It matches the Rfam family "Bacterial small subunit ribosomal RNA", at positions 103 to 334 of the family's 1533-position model. The record is from RNAcentral.